Long non-coding RNA from Oncorhynchus masou masou (cherry salmon), 1096 nucleotides. RefSeq lists it as uncharacterized. The record is from RefSeq and is a predicted model, not a curated record. The transcript has 2 exons. Lineage: Eukaryota; Metazoa; Chordata; Actinopteri; Salmoniformes; Salmonidae.
ACUAGCCAGACAAAGCUCGGUGGCUGCUUAAUAACGUUAGCUUUGGGAAACAGGGUUAGUAGCAACAAGUAGCUGCAUAGCUCGUUUUUUUUCUUCGUGAACUCAAGUUCAAUUCCAAUAGGCGAACAACAAGUGGCUACCUAGUGAAUACUUACUCACAAGGAUUCCUAAAUCAUUGCUAAGAAGAGUGAAAAUGACUGCAGUUUCUACUGGUAAUUGUUUUCAGGCUGGUUGCAAGUUGGUGUAGCAACCCCAGAAGUUGCUAAUAACGUCAAAUAUAUUUGCCCUUAAACAUUUUUUUAACAUCCGGUUUGUUUGGUGGCUUGCGCGUGCAAAUGCAGCACACACAACAAUCUAUAAUAUAGUGUGUUAUUUGACGUGUCGAAUAUUGUAUAUUUUUGACAAGCGAAGACCUAAACGGCGUUCCAUAGUAUGUUGUUGUUGGGGUUUGUCGAAAUAUAACGUCGUGCUUGGAUCAGCUGCAUUUUACUUCAGGUAACAUGAUUGUGUUAUUUGUCUAGCUAAUCUGCUAGCUAGCUAUAUAUUUGUUCCACUCAGUGUCUGGAGGCCAAGCAAUGGCUGUCUAUGCCAAAAAGCUAACUUUGUUUUUCCUGUUGCACAAUCUGAUUGUGACCCGUUGCAUUAACAUCUCUUGCUAGCCAGUAAUAUAAGGUAACUAUCUAGCUACCGUUAGGUCGCAACUUUUGACUAGCAAAUUAUACUAGCUCGCUAACUUGAAUAACUAUUUCUGAGAGACACAAUAACUACAGCCAUGCAUUGUUGACAAUUAUGCUUGAUGGCAGACAUUUUUCCUAGGGUGGACUACAGUCAGCUUGUGUUGUCAGGCCUGUCUAUCCCUUUCUAGAUGGACAAUAUGCUGGAUAAAGAUGUGGAUGACUCCAUAGAAUGUAAUAACUUUAUAAUCCAUUGGUGAGAAUGGAAAAUGUCUUCUCCCUUUCCCUACAAACAAAUACACACAAGUUGAGUCAACAGCAGUGCAGAGCCCCAGGAUGGAGGGGUGCUGCACUGCAGGGUGUUGGGAAAACCAUAAGGCACAUUUCUGUUCUAAUGUACAAUAAAGUAUCUGACCCCUCCA